RNAcentral lists this transfer RNA (70 nucleotides) under Allium mairei. RNAcentral describes it as "tRNA-Val". It matches the Rfam family "tRNA". From Rfam's summary of the family: Transfer RNA (tRNA) molecules are approximately 80 nucleotides in length. Their secondary structure includes four short double-helical elements and three loops (D, anti-codon, and T loops). The record is from RNAcentral. Lineage: Eukaryota; Viridiplantae; Streptophyta; Magnoliopsida; Asparagales; Amaryllidaceae.
AGGGCUAUAGCUCAGUUAGGUAGAGCACCUCGUACCGAGAAGGUCUACGGUUCGAGUCCGUAUAGCCCUA